UAGUAAAAAUUUGGCAAGAUGCAGUUUUAAACGUAUUAUUUGAAUUAUGGAAACCAUAUACGUAAAACUCUUCAUAAAACUGAUAGCGAUUAAUUACCAAAUCAAAAAGAGUUCAUUCUCAUUUAAACAAUUAAUAACUCAAUUAUAACUCAUUUACAACAACGAAAGAAAGAGACAAUAGCCCGAUAGGCCCAUGUUGUUAAUUAAACAACUCGUACAGAUUUUCCAAGAAAAGGAAAAAUAAAAACGAUUCGAAGAAGUAGAAUGUAGAAGACGUUUACCCGCUUGAUCAGGGCCGGCUAUGUUUUGACGCAUCAUCACCUCCGAUUCUCCUACCUAUAUCUCAGGUGUUAUAGAGACUUAAGAGUUUAUGUGAUAGGAACCAAGGGUAAGUUGAAGAUCUGAGUAGCUAUGAGAUCCAAAAGCUACUUCAGGUUCUUACUAAUUAUUAGUGGUUUUCUAAUGAUUUUACGCACUCCAGCAUCCAUAAUGAAUCAGCAACAAUGGCUACAGAAGUAGAGUUAUAGAAAUUGUCAAGGAGAAUAGCUCAUUCUUGAAGUGGACUUCAAAUGGCAAAUAAAUUGCACAGAUGGCUGACGACGUAAGCUGUUUUUUGUUUGUGGAAUCUUUCUUUUUUUGGUCCUUUUUCAUACAUAUAUCCGAUGAGAACUAUCUAUUCUUCUAGAUUUUAGUCAUAUAAUUAAACUGGCUUCUAUGUUUUCGAGGGAUCUCUCAAUGGAGUUCAUAUAUGAGAAGAGAUGUGUAGGCCAACCGCAGAGACAAAAUUUUCAUCUUUACAGACGUGCCUAAGGUGUUGUGCCAUCACCGAUACAUAUUAGCCACUUCGCAAAAUCUUUUUCCGCUUGGUCCAGCCUCAUAUUUUUCUCGAGAGUGAAUAUAGAGCAAUAAUUCCAUAAAUAUGAACGGUUGAUUGUUGCCAUAACAGUUUCUUGUCUGGUGCCUUGUGGUAUGACUGGCAGAAUUUGUCUAAAAUCACCACCAAGAAGCACCGUUUUUCCGCCAAAGGGUUUGCUUGCUGCAUCUGGAUCAGCUACUGAGAGUACAUCUCUCAAACUCUUAUCAAGAGCUUCAAACGCAAAUCGAUGGCACAUAGGCGCUUCAUCCCAAAUGAUGAGAUCUGUUUUUUACUACCGUUCGACGAUAGGAACGCUUUUUGUUAAGCUGAUCUACUGUUAUGUAAUCUUUGUUAGUAUGUUGAACUUGUGUCUUCAUCUUUUGUUUGAUGAUAGCUAUUCUGAAAA
Molecule: long non-coding RNA, 1262 nt
Organism: Arabidopsis lyrata subsp. lyrata
Lineage: Eukaryota; Viridiplantae; Streptophyta; Magnoliopsida; Brassicales; Brassicaceae
Exons: 3
Source: RefSeq, a predicted model, not a curated record